CCUACGGGGAGCAGCAGUGGGGGAUAUUGCACAAUGGGGGGAACCCUGAUGCAGCGACGCCGCGUGGGUGAAGAAGCGCCUCGGCGCGUAAAGCCCUGUCAGCAGGGAAGAAAAUGACGGUACCUGAAGAAGAAGCCCCGGCUAACUACGUGCCAGAAGCCGCGGGAAUACGUAGGGGGCAAGCGUUAUCCGCAUUUACUGGGUGUAAAGGGGGCGGAGACGGCGAUGCAAGCCAGGAGUGAAAGCCCGGGGCCCAACCCCGGGACUGCUCUUGGAACUGCGUGGCUGGAGUGCAGGAGGGGCAGGCGGAAUUCCUGGUGUAGCGGUGAAAUGCGUAGAUAUCAGGAGGAACACCGGUGGCGAAGGCGGCCUGCUGGACUGCAACUGACGUUGAGGCCCGAAAGCGUGGGGAGCAAACAGGAUUAGAUACCCUUGUAGUC
This 440-nucleotide ribosomal RNA is filed under the name uncultured bacterium. Its description in RNAcentral is "partial 16S ribosomal RNA". It matches the Rfam family "Bacterial small subunit ribosomal RNA", at positions 338 to 795 of the family's 1533-position model. The record is from RNAcentral.